Molecule: RNA transcript, 977 nt
Organism: Hipposideros armiger (great roundleaf bat)
Lineage: Eukaryota; Metazoa; Chordata; Mammalia; Chiroptera; Hipposideridae
Gene: CD164L2
Gene name: CD164 molecule like 2
Exons: 7
Source: RefSeq, a predicted model, not a curated record
CCGAGUCCUCAAGGGACGCGCCACACCACCUCUCCGCAGACCCCGAGUCCCCGCCCCCAUGGCUUCGCCGGGACCCCGCGCCUUACGGGCUGCGCUGUGUGGCAGCUGCUGCUGCUUCCUCCUGUGUGCCCAGCUCGCUGUAGCUGGUAAAGGAGCUCGAGGCUUUGGGCGGGGAGCUCUGCUCCGCAUGAACAUCUGGCCAGCUGUCGAAGGGGCUUGCAAACAACUGAAGCUCUGUGAGCACUGUGUGGAGGGGGACAGAGCACACAACCUCUCUGGCUGUGUGUGGGAGCAAUGUCAGCCAGAGCAGCCAGGACACUGUGUGGCCCAAGCUGAGGAGGUCAAGGAAGGUUGCUCUGUCUACAACCACUCAGAGUCAUGUCCAGCUGCCCACCACCAUCCCACCUAUGAACCGAAGACAAUCACAACCGGGAUCCCCUCUGUGCCUGGAGCCCACAACCCUGGCUUUGAUGGGGCCAGCUUCAUUGGCGGCGUUGUGCUGGUGCUAAGCCUACAGGCAGUGGCCUUCUUCAUCUUGCGCUUCCUCAAGGCCAAGGACAGCACCUACCAGACACUCAGGGAGGAGAACCAGUAGGUGAUGGCCAGGCCAGACUUUGGCCUGCAGCUCUGGCCGCGGGCAGGACCUUGGCCAUAAUCUGACCCCCUUCAGGCCUGGAUUCCACACUGAGGGAAGGAGGAUGAAGAGGCUUCUCUCUUGCCCCUCUUGUGAGCACUGGGGGUGGGAAAAACUUUGGCCACCAAUUUCUGUCCCCUACAAGCACCGAGCAGUCUCAGGGCUCAGUACUGACAUCCCCUCCUGUCCUGGGCCUGGUACCUGCAGCUGACAGCAUCCUUCAACUACCUCCUGCCUCAUCUGUCAUCCCUGUCAGCCUCCUGCUUGGCACUGGGUCUGUGCCUGCCUCUUCCCACUGACCUGGCCUGGGCACUGCCUCUAAAUAAAGGAGCUCUUUCCAACA